GAGAGGGUGAGCGGGCGCACUGGGAGUGAGACACGGCCCACACUCUUACGGGAGGCAGCAGUAGGGAAUCUUCUGCAAUAGACGGAAGUCUGACGGAGCAACCCCGCGUGAGUGGGGAAGGCCUUCGGGUCGUAAAGCUCUGUUGUUUGUGAAGAAGGGGUAGGCCAGGAAAUGGGCCGACAUUGACGGUAGAGAACCAGAAAGCCCCGGCUAACUACGUGCCAGCAGCCGCGGUAACAAGUAGGGGGCAAGCGUUGUCCGGAAUGAUUAGGCGUAAAGGGCGGGCAGGCGGCCUCUUAAGUUUGAUGUGAAAGCCCACGGCUCAACCGCGGAGGGACAUUGGAAACUGGGGGGCUUGAGUGCAGGAGAGGGGAGUGGAAUUCCACGUGUAGCGGUGAAAUGCGUAGAGAUGUGGAGGAACACCAGUGGCGAAGGCGGCUCUCUGGCCUGUGACUGACGCUGAGGCGCGAAAGCGUGGGGAGCGAACAGGAUUAGAUACCCUGGUAGUCCACGCCGU
RNAcentral lists this ribosomal RNA (517 nucleotides) under uncultured organism. RNAcentral describes it as "SSU rRNA". It matches the Rfam family "Bacterial small subunit ribosomal RNA", at positions 294 to 803 of the family's 1533-position model. The record is from RNAcentral.